CCUGCCUUGGGACUGCGUGUGGUGGGAGGUGGGCAAGGAUACGGUGCCGCUUGUUCUCGGGGAACUCGGAGCGCAGGCGGGUCAGGUGGGCCUGGUGGCAGUGCAGGCCCCACGGGUUAAACCUCUUCUUCUCAACCUGGUUCCCAUUAGCAUCUUCCACCAGCGAGGACACUUGAGCGUUGAGGUGGGACUCGGGCCUCAGGGGUGCCUUGGCUGGGCUGCGGCUGGCGGGAGCACACGACGGUCAGGGUGGUGCGGGGAGGGUGCCGUGACUGUGACUGGGCUCCCUGGGACGGGCUCUGACAGGGCUGUCCCCAGCUGCUCGCCCUGGCGGCCCGCACCAGGCUGCUGGAAGUGCCCUCCCUGUCCAGCUCGGGUCCCUGGGACCAGAUCACACCACACUGCAGGCCUCUCGGGGUUUCUGCAAACCCCAGAGUAAGUCGUUGGAAUGUGUCACCCAUCGGAGGGCCGAGGUGGUUUAAACUGGCUGUGAGUGAUCUGGACUAUUGCUCGUCUUCCCACGGGGGCACGUGUGGGCAGCAGCCCCAUCUAGAAGCGCAAGGCGGCUUGGACUCUGAUACUCUGGCAGGGAUCCUUUUCAUCUGAGGAAGGUCAGCUGACAUUGUCAGAGGUUUCGGAGCCCUCCCCAAGGACCUCUGGACCCGCUGUGAGCCGCGCGGACCUUCCCCCUCCUCACGUCCUGACUGCUAAGGAAAGACGAUUUCUGAGCAAUUAGCCACACUACUCCUUUAUGUAAACUAUUCUAGGGCUUCUGUUCUGCACACUUUUCCCUCAGAGACACCUGAUGGUCUCGGCAAAACACGUAUUUAAUUAAACAAAUAUGUACCGAA
Molecule: long non-coding RNA, 851 nt
Organism: Lemur catta (Ring-tailed lemur)
Lineage: Eukaryota; Metazoa; Chordata; Mammalia; Primates; Lemuridae
Exons: 2
Source: RefSeq, a predicted model, not a curated record